CUGACCUGUAUAGUUUUCUGUUCCCAAAAGUAGAAACCACUUUUUCAGACUUUCUCAGAGUAAAAUCUUUUUUUAGCAGUGCUAUGCGACUUCCUACGUUCACACAGUAGGAUAGGCGUUUUUUAACAUGCUUCAACGCGCCAAUAUUGACCAAUAGGAUCUCACUAGCUAAUGCUCUGCUCAGGCAAUCUUUCCUCUAGAGCUGGCUUUCCAGAGCUGGCGCCCCAGUGGAAAACGACACUAUGGAGAUAUACAGUAUAUCUAAUACACAAUGAUAUAAGAAUAAGUGAAAUAAUGAGCCACAAACUUAACAUACUUGAUACGAAGGACUGCGCCGCUGCGUACAAGCAUUUUCAAAAAGCGGAACCGGAAACAAUGUUUUCAAUACUACGUAUAAUUGAUCUCUGACGUUAUUGCCGUAGUAGGUAGCCAGUCAACACGAGUGAUUUUCUGUUUCAAUCGAAUAGUAUUGUAUAGUACAGCCAAAUCUCAGACACUAUGGCGACAUUGAGCAUUAAGUCUGACCAAGAAAUCAAAGAACUGUUGGACGAGUAUGGAAUUAAGCAUGGGCCUAUCGUUGACAGUACAAGACCCUUGUACGAAAAGAAGCUGAGAGAGGCAAUGGCUAAAGACAAGAAAGUGACAAAAUCAUCCACGGACAAAACCACAAAGCCUUCCACAGACAAAACCUUCUACAGAGAAGAGGAGGAAGAAGUCACCUAUGUCACCUAUCGGACACCUGUGAGGAGUGAGGGGCCUUCUGGAGAUGGGAAACCGUAUAUGAGGUCCAGACCCGACUACAGUGGGAGAGACUUCGUAGAUGAUGAAUCCUAUUCAAAAUCACAUCCAGAGUACAGCAGUGGAAGACACUAUGUUGAUGAACUGGGCCACAGGGCAGUAUUCCAACAAUGACCCCAAACACACCUCCAAGACGACCACUGCCUUGCUCAAGAUGCUGAGGGUAAAGUAAACCCUACUCAAAACCACGUCCUGAGUACAGCAGUGGGAGAGAUUAUGUUGCAGAGCCUCACAUCUACAAUACUCCGUCCAUGUCCUCGUACUCCUCUUACUCCAAACCCUCGUCUGUUGGGAGGCCUGCCGCCGUCGCUGGUGUGAAGCAGGGAUCCCCAGCCAGCUCCGGGAGACUGAUCCCCCUCUGGGUCCAGUUCCUGGUCUUCCUGGUUGUGGCUGGGUUCCUCUACUUCGUGUUCACCAACAUGGAGUCAGCAGAGACAAACCCUUUUAAUAGAAUCCAGUGAUCGAAAUCAAAUGUUGAAAUAGAUUUUCAGAUCUGUGCUAUAUUUGAUACAUGCCGAAAUGGGAGUGGGGGGGCGGCGAAUCGUGGAGGUACUGUUUGAACUUGGCCAAUAAGUUGCAGUCAUUUUUGUCUCCAGAAGGGCAAUGUGCAGAAGCAUUUUUCUGCAGUGUUCCCUAAGGAUUAUAAGCCAGUUUUAACACAUGGAUUUUACACAUUUAUUUGCCUCCAUGGAUGGGCGUCAUACUUUUAAACUCUUCGCUUGUGCUACUAUGUACACAUAUAUACACUUAUAUAAAGGUGCUGGGUGCUGGUAAUUUCUAUGACAUACUUCACUACUGUUGUAAAGGAAAGUAAUAGCAUCUCCUCGCGUUCCUAGUAACUAGAUGGUGUGAUGGUUUCAUAAAAUAUUUUCGCUGCGCUACAGGAAAAAGGUGGCUCCGCUGGGGUUUCUACUGUCUUGAUGAUCUUCUUGAAUGUCUAGCGUUCACUGCCCACGGUAAAAUGCAUGUACCGAAUGCUGUAUCCACGAUUCAAAACGGUCCGUUGAGUAUGAUUUGAUUGUGGAAAGGUCAAGGUUCAUUCCUGACACGCCGUGCAGUCCGGUUCCUGAUCGCCAAGCUGAGAACGACUAGACGCGGCGUUCCUGAGAACCGAGAACCCUGGCGCAUCUGUGGCAUUACCGAGUUCUCAGGGAAGUGCCUCAGCAUGUUGACCUGACAGUGACUCCAUCCACCCGUUUAUCAAAAUGCAAUCGCUGUUGUGGUGUAUUUGUCAUUUAAAUGGUUGUUGGGUUUAAUGUCCGUUCUGGUAUUUGUUUAGAUGUGUUCAUGCUACUCCAGUUGCAUGAAGUGGUGGUGAUAAGCGCCACCACUUCAUGCUCUGUGACUGCGCCUGGGGUAUCCUUUGAAAUGCCCCCUUUUUUUGUGUUUCCAGAAACCCGUCUGUUUUUGUCGGCGAUCACUUACAUUUUUAUAACUCAAUGUGGUGCACUUAUUUCCCUGUAGACGCUGGUUGAAACAAGUGCCCUUCAGAGGCAGUAGAAUGCCACCCGUUAGUACAAAUGAAAUGAAAAUGCUCUUGAGCUGGACAGUUUCUAUUCAGAGAUAUAUCUGACUGUCUACAAUUUUCUAUCCAGACAUUUUGAGUCAUUAUUUUUGAAUCUCCAACUAAAGGAAUUUUUAAUAAAUGUUUUUUUAAUCUAACAUUGUGUUAUUUCAUAAACAACUCCCAAUAUCAAAGAAUUUCUGUUUAAUUUGUAGUUUGUUCCCAACUAUACACAGUGACACCUGACAGCAAUAUUGAUGGUUAAACAAAAGUUAUUG
Esox lucius (northern pike) is the source of this 2580-nucleotide long non-coding RNA. NCBI's taxonomy places the organism in Eukaryota, Metazoa, Chordata, Actinopteri, Esociformes, Esocidae. The record is from Ensembl.